Molecule: ribosomal RNA, 407 nt
Filed under: uncultured prokaryote
Description: bacterial SSU rRNA
Rfam family: Bacterial small subunit ribosomal RNA
Source: RNAcentral
UGAGGAAUAUUGCGCAAUGGGCGGAAGCCUGACGCAGCGACGCCGCGUGGGGGAUGAAGGCCUUCGGGUUGUAAACCUCUUUCAGCGCCGAAGAAGCGUGAGUGACGGUAGGCGCAGAAGAAGCACCGGCUAACUACGUGCCAGCAGCCGCGGUAAUACGUAGGGUGCAAGCGUUGUCCGGAAUUAUUGGGCGUAAAGAGCUCGUAGGCGGUUUGUCGCGUCUGCUGUGAAAACUCGGGGCUUAACUCCGGGCUUGCAGUGGGUACGGGCAGACUGGAGUGCGGUAGGGGAGACUGGAAUUCCUGGUGUAGCGGUGAAAUGCGCAGAUAUCAGGAGGAACACCGGUGGCGAAGGCGGGUCUCUGGGCCGUAACUGACGCUGAUGCACGAAAGUGUGGGGAUCAAACA